RNAcentral lists this ribosomal RNA (116 nucleotides) under Pteropus alecto (black flying fox). The record is from RNAcentral. Lineage: Eukaryota; Metazoa; Chordata; Mammalia; Chiroptera; Pteropodidae.
GUCUAUGGCCAUGCCACCCUGAACAAGCCUGAUGUCUGAUCUCGGAAGCUAAGCAGGGUUGGACCUGGUCAGUACUUAGAUGAGAGACCACCUAGGAAGACCAGGUGCUAUCUAAA